This 429-nucleotide ribosomal RNA is filed under the name Bacillota bacterium. RNAcentral's name for it is "Firmicutes bacterium partial 16S ribosomal RNA". It matches the Rfam family "Bacterial small subunit ribosomal RNA", at positions 355 to 776 of the family's 1533-position model. The record is from RNAcentral. Lineage: Bacteria; Bacillati; Bacillota.
UAGGGAAUCUUCCACAAUGGACGCAAGUCUGAUGGAGCAACGUCGCGUGAGUGAAGAAGGUUUUCGGAUCGUAAAGCUCUGUUGUUGGUGAAGAAGGAUAGAGGUAGUAACUGGCCUUUAUUUGACGGUAAUCAACCAGAAAGUCACGGCUAACUACGUGCCAGCAGCCGCGGUAAUACGUAGGUGGCAAGCGUUGUCCGGCUUUCUUGUGCGUAAAGCGAGCGCAGGCGGAAGAAUAAGUCUGAUGUGAAAGCCCUCGGCUUAACCGAGGAACUGCAUCGGAAACUGUUUUUCGUGAGUGCAGAAGAGGAGAGUAGAACUCCAUGUGGAGCGGUGGAAUGCGUAGAUAUAUGGAAAAACACCAGUGGCGAAGGCGACUCUCUGGUCUGCAACUGACGCAGAGGCUCGAAAGCAUGGGUAGCGAACAAG